This 492-nucleotide ribosomal RNA is filed under the name uncultured bacterium. Its description in RNAcentral is "partial 16S ribosomal RNA". It matches the Rfam family "Bacterial small subunit ribosomal RNA", at positions 29 to 507 of the family's 1533-position model. The record is from RNAcentral.
AGUGAACGCUGGCGGUAGGCCUAACACAUGCAAGUCGAACGGCCGCACAGUAAGAGCUUGCUCUUACGGGUGGCGAGUGGCGGACGGGUGAGGAAUACAUCGGAAUCUACUUUUUCGUGGGGGAUAACGUAGGGACACUUACGCUACUACCGCAUACGACCUACGGGUGAAAGCAGGGGAUCUUCGGACCUUGCGCGAUUGAAUGAGCCGAUGUCGGAUUAGCUAGUUGGCGGGGUAAAGGCCCACCAAGGCGACGAUCCGUAGCUGGUCUGAGAGGAUGAUCAGCCACACUGGAACUGAGACACGGUCCAGACUCCUACGGGAGGCAGCAGUGGGGAAUAUUGGACAAUGGGCGCAAGCCUGAUCCAGCCAUACCGCGUGAGUGAAGAAGGCCUUCGGGUUGUAAAGCCCUUUUGUUGGGAAAGAAAAGCAGCAGGUUAAUACCCCGCUGUUCUGACGGUACCCAAAGAAUAAGCACCGGCUAACUUCGUG